Molecule: ribosomal RNA, 429 nt
Filed under: Actinomycetes bacterium
Lineage: Bacteria; Bacillati; Actinomycetota; Actinomycetes
Description: Actinobacteria bacterium partial 16S ribosomal RNA
Rfam family: Bacterial small subunit ribosomal RNA
Source: RNAcentral
UAGGGAAUCUUCCGCAAUGGGCGAAAGCCUGACGGAGCAACGCCGCGUGAGUGAUGAAGGUCUUCGGAUCGUAAAACUCUGUUAUUAGGGAAGAACAAAUGUGUAAGUAACUAUGCACGUCUUGACGGUACCUAAUCAGAAAGCCACGGCUAACUACGUGCCAGCAGCCGCGGUAAUACGAAGGUGGCAAGCGUUAUCCGGAAUUAUUGGGCGUAAAGCGCGCGUAGGCGGUUUUUUAAGUCUGGUGUGAAAGCCCACGGCUCAACCGUGGAGGGUCAUUGGAAACUGGAAAACUUGAGUGCAGAAGAGGAAAGUGGAAUUCCAUGUGUAGCGGUGAAAUGCGCAGAGAUAUGGAGGAACACCAGUGGCGAAGGCGACUUUCUGGUCUGUAACUGACGCUGAUGUGCGAAAGCGUGGGGAUCAAACAGG